GAUGAACGCUGGCGGCGUGCCUAAUACAUGCAAGUCGAGCGAACAGACGAGGAGCUUGCUCCUCUGACGUUAGCGGCGGACGGGUGAGUAACACGUGGAUAACCUACCUAUAAGACUGGGAUAACUUCGAGAAACCGGAGCUAAUACCGGAUAAUAUAUUGAACCGCAUGGUUCAAUAGUGAAAGACGGUUUUGCUGUCACUUAUAGAUGGAUCCGCGCCGCAUUAGCUAGUUGGUAAGGUAACAGCUUACCAAGGCAACGAUGCGUAGCCGACCUGAGAGGGUGAUCGGCCACACUGGAACUGGGACACGGUCCAGACUCCUACGGGAGGCAGCAGUAGGGAAUCUUCCGCAAUGGGCGAAAGCCUGACGGAGCAACGCCGCGUGAGUGAUGAAGGUCUUCGGAUCGUAAAACUCUGUUAUUAGGGAAGAACAAAUGUGUAAGUAACUAUGCACGUCUUGACGGUACCUAAUCAGAAAGCCACGGCUAACUACGUG
RNAcentral lists this ribosomal RNA (497 nucleotides) under uncultured bacterium. RNAcentral's name for it is "partial 16S ribosomal RNA". It matches the Rfam family "Bacterial small subunit ribosomal RNA", at positions 28 to 507 of the family's 1533-position model. The record is from RNAcentral.